This 498-nucleotide ribosomal RNA is filed under the name Gastrotheca fulvorufa. RNAcentral describes it as "partial 16S ribosomal RNA". It matches the Rfam family "Bacterial large subunit ribosomal RNA", at positions 1845 to 2542 of the family's 2925-position model. Lineage: Eukaryota; Metazoa; Chordata; Amphibia; Anura; Hemiphractidae. The record is from RNAcentral.
AUAAGAGGUCCAGCCUGCCCAGUGACACUGUUCAACGGCCGCGGUAACCUAACCGUGCGAAGGUAGCAUAAUCAUUUGUCCUUUAAAUGGGGACUAGCAUGAAUGGCAUCACGAAGAUUAUACUGUCUCCUUUUUCCAAUCAGUGAAACUAAUCUCCCCGUGAAGAAGCGGGGAUACACAUAUAAGACGAGAAGACCCUAUGGAGCUUUAAGUAAAACAACAUUUGCCGUUAUACAUCUUAAUUUAAGAAAAUUAACCUAUACUAUAGCAUUUUGAUUGUUAGCUUUAGGUUGGGGUGACCGCGGAGUAAAAAAGAACCUCCACAUUGAAAGGGGGAAAUCCCCUAAACAAAAAGUUACAACUUUACGUAUCAAUAAAUUGACAUCAAUUGACCCAAAAUUUUGAUCAACGAAACAAGUUACCCUAGGGAUAACAGCGCAAUCUGCUUCGAGAGCCCAUAUCGACAAGCAGGUUUACGACCUCGAUGUUGGAUCAGGG